GACAUCUGGCAGUGAGUUUUUAAUACUGAGGGUCAUUUACAUGGCUGGUGUUGCUAAAGAGCUCAGAAGGUAAUAGUUAAUUUCUUGAACUUCCCAGCUGGUUUAACUGCAUCAGAAUUUAAACCUAUUGGAAUGCAUUUCAAAGGUAAGACUGAUGUUACUUUGUUUUUUUUUGGAAUUAUCCUAGAAUGAGGUGAGAAUAAAACUCAUCCUUGACCUGUGGCUCUCAACCAAAGGUUUGGGUGUGAGCAUUCAUUGGAAAAGUUCUCCAGGUGCUUUUCCAAGAUUGAGGAUCACUGCUCCAGGGUGAAGUGCAUGUGAAUCACUGAGGCCCCUGCUUUUCUAACACACUCCAGGUGAUGCCCAUGCAAUAAGGACUUGCUUUAGUGGUCAGGACAACUUUCAGUGGGUGACCCUGUAUCUCUAAACUACACUGCAGCAACAUGGAGUGAGACAACCAUAAAAGACACAUUUGCUAGUACAGAAAAGGGGAAAGAAUAGCCCCCGUGGGCAAAGGCUUCUACCACGAACAUUUAUUUUUGUUAAAGCAGAUUAUAAAUUCUCAUCAGUACAAAUAUAUAUAUAUAACUUACAUUUGAUUGUAAGGCCAACGUUUAAAAGUAAUAAUGAGAUGGGAUCUCUCAUGUUACCAGAGGUCAAGUGGCUGCAACUGGCAAUGGGAUUUUUGCUAGCCAAAACGGGGGAACACAAAGCUAGUAAAACCAGGACCCCUACAAAACUCAGGGAAACAACCCCAUAAAGUAAGACCAACAUUACAAACGGACACAGAAAACCUGUUCCUUUCUGUGGAUAUACAAUUAUGUAAUUGUCACUUUAGUGUUAAAAAAAGCAUUAACUUAAGGAAAAUACAUAUUCUCUAUAGAGCACAUUUAGAUUGAGUCCAUUAAAAUGACAUUAGAAUUUCUCAUAGGUUCAAAACCAGGACGAAUACUGCUCUUUCAUUUACAACUACAACCUAGUGACUGUAUUGGUCUUAAGCAUGAUUGUUGUUGCAAUGUGAUACUUACAAUGAAUGAUACUGCCCAAGCUAGGGAUCCCGUCUGCCACCUCCCUUUCCUCUUUUUACUUCAAUAGGCAUCAAUGAUAAAUCAAUCUUAUGUACAAUUUUACAGCUAACCCUUUACCUUUGGCAAGAUUACUUACAACUCAUACAACUUUUUAAUAUUGAGAACUAUUUAAAAUAUUCUAACUGCAUAAAAAUAAAGAUUUUGGCUUUUUCGAUAUAUUUAUAUUUAUUCUGUUACUCAAAAUGGAAGCUCAACUUUUCCCCAAAAUAUAGCUCUGUUGUACCUGCCUGGGAGUGCGGGCUAUGCCACCUGCCCCUCUCAUCCAGCUGGAGCACACGCCAGGACUGAAGGGCAGGCGGACGGCCUGGAAAAUGAAGAGACUUGUAAGAUGAGGAAGGGCAGAGAGGAGAGGCACCGUUUCUGACUCCUUCAGGCUAACUGCAAGGCAGCUCUUCUUUCAAAACCACCCCUUCAUUGCACUCUGACUGGAUUUAUUCCUGGGGACCUUUGGGAUUACUGAAAAGUAUUUCGAUCGGGAAGACAAAAUCUCCUUUCAGCCUCUGACCACCUCCCCAAACCUGGUCUGAGUAUGAGCAAGAUAGGUGGAAGGAAAGUCUCUACUGGAGAAAGAAGAACCUGUCAGACAUGCUGCUGACCCUGAAAACCAUGUACACCAGGGAGCAGUGGGCCAUCAAGAGGCUCUCACCUACAGCCUACUCACAUGCCUAAGGAAAAAUGCUGCAGAAUUUUUGUGAUGUUGGACAGUGAU
Molecule: long non-coding RNA, 1797 nt
Organism: Echinops telfairi (small Madagascar hedgehog)
Lineage: Eukaryota; Metazoa; Chordata; Mammalia; Afrosoricida; Tenrecidae
Exons: 4
Source: RefSeq, a predicted model, not a curated record